ACUCAGAUCUAAACAAAAAAGAAAUAAAGGCAGCAAAGUUAUCAGCUCUAAAGCAAGCACUCUUAACGGGAAAGAAAGUUGAGACAACAAAAUGUAGUAACAUAAUGUUUGAGAGAUUAUCAUGGAUAAAGGCACUAAGGCAGGCUAAGGAGAAAUUACUGGAAGAAAACACUUCUGAGUCCAUCUAAUCUCAGCCAUGCACAAAGCAGGAGAAAAAAGGAGAAAGAGGUACAACGAAUACUCUGAGAAGAUUGUCUUGGUUCAAGAUGCCUGCAUGGUGCCGGUGACUGUAGGCCUGUGCCAAAUAUUCCGGAAUAAUUUUUUGAAUAAUAGGCAGUCUUUUUCCAAUUUAAAUAAUGGCACUGUGAAAACAGUUUAAUGAUAUUCAUUGAGUUGCACAUGCGCAGUAGCUCAGAACACGCCCACAUUUUACACGGCAGUAAACCUAAUUUUUAUGAUGUUAGUCCAAUUAAUGACCACAUUUUUGUGCUAAAGUUUGUUAUUUCGUUGCUGAAAUUGAUUUUUUGGUGCUAUAUAUUUUAAUUUCGCUGCGAUGUAUGUGAAUAAUAGGUGACAUCAAUUAAUAAUAGGG
Molecule: long non-coding RNA, 592 nt
Organism: Halichondria panicea
Lineage: Eukaryota; Metazoa; Porifera; Demospongiae; Suberitida; Halichondriidae
Exons: 3
Source: RefSeq, a predicted model, not a curated record